Molecule: ribosomal RNA, 204 nt
Filed under: uncultured Thauera sp.
Lineage: Bacteria; Pseudomonadati; Pseudomonadota; Betaproteobacteria; Rhodocyclales; Zoogloeaceae
Description: partial 16S ribosomal RNA
Rfam family: Bacterial small subunit ribosomal RNA
Source: RNAcentral
UGACGUCAAGUCCUCAUGGCCCUUAUGGGUAGGGCUUCACACGUCAUACAAUGGUCGGUACAGAGGGUUGCCGAAGCCGCGAGGUGGAGCCAAUCCCUUAAAGCCGAUCGUAGUCCGGAUCGUAGUCUGCAACUCGACUACGUGAAGUCGGAAUCGCUAGUAAUCGCAGAUCAGCAUGCUGCGGUGAAUACGUUCCCGGGUCUU